This is a non-coding RNA of Macaca mulatta (Rhesus monkey), 1402 nucleotides long. The record is from RefSeq and is a predicted model, not a curated record. NCBI's taxonomy places the organism in Eukaryota, Metazoa, Chordata, Mammalia, Primates, Cercopithecidae.
GUUCUUUUGGCGCUGGGCCCGCCUCCGGGGUUGCCUAGCAACGUCAAGCUGGGCACCAAGCCUUUUCCAGGUUCUGGGUUCAGACUUGAAUCCGCGGCACCUCACCCUCUUCCCCGACAGGAGACCAGAUACGCAUUUCACUUCUUUAUUGGCAGCCCGGAGCCUGGUCUGGGCUCUCCCGGGCGCUUACACGUCCCAACCCCAGACUGAGGUGCCCAAAGGCCUCCCAAACAGCCCUGGCCUGCUUGACCUUCGACCCUCAGGACAGAGAAAGCUACCAGCUAUGCCUGCUGACCCCACUGGUCAGGUGGAGCCGCGGUGCCUCGUGUAGUCCUGAAUGGAGGCCUGGAAGUGCUCUGUGCUGUUGAGGUCUGGGCGGCAGAGGAUCACGUAGCACUUGGGCAGAAAAUACCCGCCGAAGCCGCUGCUCAGGCUGCUCAGCCCAGCCAGCAUGUUGACCGCGGGCAGAUACUUGCCGUCGUAGACACUAGCCGUGGUGAAGAAGGCGAUCCAGGACAUGAAGUUGAAGAGCAGGCUGAAGGUGACACAUUUGGCCUCGUUGUAGUUCUCUGGCAAGUCCUUGCCCAGGUAGCUGCAGGCAAAGGCACUGAUGGAGAGAAGGCCAUUGUAGAGAAAGGCCAGUAUGAAGCCCAGGGAGUUGGCCUCUGUGCACUCAAGCAUCACCAGAUGGGGGAAGCGCUGGUAUUCCCUAGUGGGCAGUGGAGUCCACACCACCAGCCAAGUUAGACAGAUAAGCAGCUGAGCCGCUGAGCUGAUCAUCACAAACAGGCCAGCACCAUGGUUUUGGACCCAGACGCGGUAGAAGCAUUUGGCCCGUGCCUCCUACAUCUCCUUACCCAGUUUUUACGGGACCGUAUUAGAGCCUUCGCCCAUGGUGAGAGGUGACAACGUGCUAACAGCCCUCGCUCGCUCUCGAUGGGUCAGUACAAGACAUGAUGCUACUUCAAGAAUACCAGCGGCUUCAAGAACAACUGUACCAACCCCACAGCCUUUCUCCAUAAACAUCGCCCCUCUUCAGCUAGAAGCAGUCAGAAGGCAACGCCACCCCUUCUCUAUUACCUAUUAAAGGCUGGAAUGUUAGGGACCCAACCCAGCAAAGGCCCUCCGCCAAGGCGGAUGUUUUCCCCACCCCGUUUUUCUCUGUCCCCUCUUUUUCUCACCGCCUACAGGUCCUCCGCCAAGGCAGAUGUUCCCCAGCUGUUGUUUUUUCCCCCUAACAUCUGCCCAUCAACCAGGAAGUGGUUUUACCCAGAAACAGCCCCUAGGCGCCCCUGCGCCCUCCCUAAAAUAUACUUAUACCCUCUAGUCUGUAAGCCCGGGCUGCUGCUUCCUUGGAUUGCUGUGGGGCAGCCCAGCAGGUUAAUAAACUUGCUUGCCUGAC